RNAcentral lists this ribosomal RNA (478 nucleotides) under uncultured bacterium. RNAcentral's name for it is "partial 16S ribosomal RNA". It matches the Rfam family "Bacterial small subunit ribosomal RNA", at positions 28 to 523 of the family's 1533-position model. The record is from RNAcentral.
GACGAACGCUGGCGGCGUGCUUAACACAUGCAAGUCGAACGGUAAGGCCCUUCGGGGUACACGAGUGGCGAACGGGUGAGUAACACGUGGGUGAUCUGCCCUGCACUUCGGGAUAAGCCUGGGAAACUGGGUCUAAUACCGGAUAGGACUCCGGACUGCAUGGUCUGGGGUGGAAAGCUUUUGCGGUGUGGGAUGGGCCCGCGGCCUAUCAGCUUGUUGGUGGGGUGAUGGGCUACCAAGGCGAAGACGGGUAGCCGGCCUGAGAGGGUCACCGGCCACAAUGGGCCUGAGAUACGGCGCAGACUCCUACGAGAGGCAGCAGUGGGGAAUAUUGCACAAUGGGCGCAAGCCUGAUGCAGCGACGCCGCGUGAGGGAUGACGGCCUUCGGGUUGUAAACCUCUUUAAGCACAGACGAAGCGCAAGUGACGGUAUGUGCAGAAGAAGGACCGGCCAACUACGUGCAAGCAGCCGCCGUAA